GGGCAGUGACGAUUUCAUCGUGAAAGGUCUCGUUCGUCGUAAUGGCUCUUUAAAGGCCUUGCCGACCAUAACCAUAUUCCGAGCCC
This 86-nucleotide small nucleolar RNA is filed under the name Salix viminalis (osier). It matches the Rfam family "Small nucleolar RNA Z43". Rfam says of the family: Z43 is a member of the C/D class of snoRNA which contain the C (UGAUGA) and D (CUGA) box motifs. Most of the members of the box C/D family function in directing site-specific 2'-O-methylation of substrate RNAs. Lineage: Eukaryota; Viridiplantae; Streptophyta; Magnoliopsida; Malpighiales; Salicaceae. The record is from RNAcentral.